GGGGAAUCUUGCGCAAUGGUCGAAAGACUGACGCAGCGACGCCGCGUGUGGGAGGACGCCUUUCGGAUCGUAAACCCCUGUCGCCCGGGACGAACAGCCCUUUCGAGGGACUUGACGGUACCGGGUGAGGAAGCCCCGGCUAACUACGUGCCAGCAGCCGCGGUAAAACGUAGGAGACAAACGUUAUCCGGAGUUACUGGGUGUAAAGGGCGUGUAGGCGGUCUGUUAAGUCUGGCGUGAAAGCUCUCGGCUAAACCGGGAGAGGUCGUUGGAUACUGGCACGACUGGAGGAUGGUAGAGGCGUGUGGAAUUCCGGGUGUAGUGGUGAAAUGCGUAGAGAUCCGGAGGAACACCAGUGGCGAAGGCGACACGCUGGGCCAUACCUGACGCUAAAGCGCGACAGCAUGGGGAGCAAAC
Molecule: ribosomal RNA, 417 nt
Filed under: uncultured bacterium
Lineage: Bacteria
Description: bacterial SSU rRNA
Rfam family: Bacterial small subunit ribosomal RNA
Source: RNAcentral